UCUAGAAGCAAAUCAAGUCAUAAGUUCAUGGAUGAAGAUUGCGAAAUUUGGUGGUGGUGAAAGGAGUUGAUAGCUCAUGGUUUUGAUAAGUUGUAUGAUGAUGGAAAGUGUAUUUGGGGGGUUCUCUAAGAGAGGUUGGGCCAACUCUUGGAGGAAGGUGGCUAGACGAGGCCACUUGGGUUGCUCUAGCCUAGUGUGACCUUAAAAGAGUAGUAUGGCACAAAAGUGGCAGCAUAACUUUACUCCAAAUCAAAUGUGAUUACAUGAUGGAGAACACCUCUACUUAUAGGCUAAGGUGUCUCAAAAUGGGCUGAAACUUUAACCUAAAAGAGCCACCUUGGUUGUCUUGGAGAGCAAGGAGAAAUCCUCUCCAAUAAGAGAGAGACAAGUAGCAAAAAAAUCCUCUCAAAUGAGAGAGUGACAUAUGGCCACUACCUAUGAAAAAACUCUCCAUUCCUAGAAUGACACAUGGCCACUAACUAGGAGGAAAACUCUCCAAUGGGAAGUGUCAUCAAACUCAAAACCAAUAAUCUUAUGAGCCACAAACAAUAUAUUGUUGGGAAACAGGUAGGCUUCGUUUUAACACCAAGAGGGGGGGGGGUGAAUUGAUGAAUUUUCAAAAUCAGAGUCUGUUGGGGGCAAAUAGGCAAGUGUACCGAGUCACACAAGUAAUAUAAAAUGGUAAGACCAAGUAUCAUAUCCCAGAGGACUCUCGGCACUGAACAGUUGUGUGAAAACAAGAUUAAUUAAGACUUAAAAUAACGAAGAUCAUAGAUUUGUGGUGGAAAAAUAAUAAAGAAAAUAAAUUGUAAUUGAUCAGUGGCAAAAGAGCAUAAAGUUGAACGGAGGUUGAUUUAUAUGAGAUGGCUAUGUUGUUGGGGUUAAAUUUCACCAAGUUCCCUCUCAUGUAUAUAAGAAUUCCUCUGUAUUCAUUAAUGCUAACGUCCCUCACGAAAACACUUAAACCCGAUCCCUCGGUCAAUAAGUUUGUCCCUAAUUACCAGUUCAUGCAAUCCCUAGCAUUCCCAGUAAAAAGAUAUGAAGAUCAAGAGGUUAAGACGACUAAGACUCAUACCCUCAUCCUUGAGCAAUAUAACCCUUAGGAGUAAUUCAACAAGGACCUGAAUUGAAAGGAACCUCCCGGCACUCAUGCAAUUCACAGAUAAUGCUAUUGCAUAAGCAAGAAUAAAGCAGAUGAAGUACUCUAACAAAUAAUGAAAUAAAGCAUAUGGAAUUAAGAACAAAUUCAAAUACAUGAGAGUUCACAAGGUUACAUCAUUCCCCAACAACAAAUAGAAAUUAGUUCCCCAAAGACAUGGGGGAACCUAUGAACAACGGAAGAAAAGAAGAAUAAUGGAAGACUAAGAAUUGGCUAGGAGUGUAUUGGAUGCUCUCUUCUGCCAGGGAUGCAAAACCUAGAGUCCCAGGGUCCUUUAAAUAGUGCCAAAAGUGUCCCAAAAUGCGGCCCGGUCCAAAAGAAUCAAAUCAAAGCAGAAUCAGGACCCGAUCCAUGUCAAAUCACGCUCAAGCGUCAUAGGGAGCUCGCCCAAGCGUGAAUCAAGGCUCAUGUGGCGCUUGGGCGCCAGUUUUCCUCGCCUGGGCUACAAGGGUCCGUAACCCAGGCGACCAGCUUGCUGUUUUCGCGUUUUGGCCGCCUGGGCUUCGCUUGGGCUUCGAGUUUUCUCCCUUCUUGGUGCCUUUUUGACCCCUUUUGAGCUCCAUCUUCAUGGCUUUUCACUUCCUCUUCCAAUAUUGCUUCAAUCUAUGUUAAAACAAGGGGAAUUUGUUAUAAAAUAGUUAAAAUCAACCUCAACUCUCUUAUUCACACAAUUGACUGAAAAUAUAUGAGUUCAAGCAAGUUUCUAAGUCAAAAAGUGUGCUUUUAGUAUCAAAAUCACAUAGCAAAUAAUAGUAUUUUAAUCCGUUAUCAGAGUCUUUUCACAAUCUUUGAUACAAAGUACAAAACUUUACAAACUUUCUUGAGUUGCUAGUAAUAGAAAAUUAAGUGGAUCGGAAAAUCAAAGUAGAGUACGUGAAUUGUAAAGUCGACUCAAUGUAAAAGAGUAGGGAUAGUGAAUUCAAAUGCGGGUUUUUAUACUGGUUCGGCUUCAAUUCCUACAUCCAGUGUCCUUCCAGUACCAGGAAGCAAAUGCACUAUAAUGGUCAAGGUUUUUACAACAAGGCUUUUAUAGAGACCUCCACGUCAAAAAUAUAAAACACCUCUCUAACCCUCUAACCAAAAUAUAGGCAAACCACACAACAAGACUUGCAACAAGAUAUCCCCUCUCUUGCAAUCUGCAACACACUUUGAACAAUCCUCAAAGUGUACCAGACUCCACGAGUCUAACCCCUGUAGUCACAACAGGUAACACAACAAUCACCACGGAUGCCAACAAGAAUCUUGAUCAACCUAGAAACACCUCAAUUGUGCAGAUUUUGAUCAAGCAAUGAGCGCGAUACAAUCCUCCUUCAGAAACUCUUCAAAGAAAGAUCACAAUCGUGUUCUUGAUGAGUUCUUGGAGCUCUAAUCUUCAAAGAAACAAUCUGAAACAGAAUAUGAAAAUGUUAUAUUUCCAAAGUUCUUUGAAACAACUUAGGUUUCGUCUAUUUAUAGAUUUCUAUAAAUCUGACGCUCCUGCAGUCGAUUAUGCUAAUAAUACAGUCGAAUGUCUUAUAACAGUUAUAAUAGUUAAGUCAAAAUAGUAGCAGUCCAGCCAAACAAAUUAAUUCCUCAUUCAAUACAGUUGACCAACAUUCAGUGCUCAACUAACUUUUAAAAAUAUAGUCGUUACUGUUCAUGAUCAUAAGAGAAUUCCAAAUCAAGCAACUAAUACAGUCGAAUGUGUGGCACACACAAACGACUUCGACACUACAGUUCACUUUGAAAUUCUUUUCAAUGCAAAAUCUCACAUACCACUGUUUCUGAAAAUUUGUGCAUAGUCACGAGCUUAAUUCGACUUUCCCAAUAAUGAAGUCGAUUUACAGCUUGUAGUUAUGCCAUACAAUGUAAGUUCAUAAAAGUGCAUGUGGUUUUCUUCUUUCAAAACAUGUGUAAUGAAACCAUAUAUGAUGUAACAUAUACAAGCUCAAUAAAUGUGCAUUCACAUAUCAAGAUAAACACAAAAACAUGUUCAACAAGAUAUCAAUCAAUAAGCAAUAGAACAUGUAACACAUCAACAAUACAUGUGUUAUUAAAAAUGUGUUGUCAUAAUAAAAAUCCAGAGUGAUAUAGAUAUUGUGUUGUCAACAAUCUCAACAAUCUCCCCCUUUUUUGAUGAUGCACAACCAUGAUUAAUAAAUAACCAUGUUUGCACAAUACCAAACCAAAUUAAGAGUAACCACAAGAUAUAACAAUCAAAUUUCAAUUCAAAUACUCUGAAUGCAAACAAUGAAUCAACAAUAUAUCAAGCAGAUAACAUUUCACAAUACUUCUCCCCCUUUGUGCAUUAACAAAAAAGGUAUGCUUCUAGAUAUGAUAUGCUGAUAAACCAAACAAAGAUGCAUCAAUAAGAAUGUAAGCAGUUUGAAAACAUGCAGUGAUGCUCCCCCUAUCAUAUAUAUUCACAUGAAAAAGAUAACUCCCCCUGAAGUGUAGCAUGUGAAGAAAAUAUGUGCAAGUGUGUAAUUCCCCCCUGCCAUUAUGCAUAUUUUCACAACAAGUAUAGAUGCACAAUGUAGUACAGUAACAAUCAAAGCAUAAAACUAGUAUAAGACAAAAUUGUAUCAUGUAUAUGAUUUCAAGCAAAUUCAUCAUGCAUAGAUACAAUGAUAAAAAAUCUCACAAUAUAAUCUCAUAUAUAAAAUAAGCAACAAAAUUAGAGAUAUAUUGCAGAUAAGCAGAAGAAAAUAAUGAAUCAACACAAUAACCAAAUUCCAGUGAAGGAAUUUAUAAUCCUGUUAAGAUCAAGUCGAUUGAAUUAUUAUCCCAGUCGAUUUCAUUGCUUCUAAGUGAGUUAGAAUUCCAGCAGUGAUUUCCAAGCAAUGUUUUCCUGCAAAACCAUUCAAAGAUCUAUUGUAGAUCAAGCAAUUUAGUUAUGCAAGAAAAAUAAUCCAUUAGGAAGUGAAUAUGCAGAAAAAUGUAACAGUGUAAACACGCAUAAUCAACUUCAAUUAAUUUUAAGUCGAUUCAAUACUCAUUUAUACUACUAUCAUUUAAAAUCCCUAGUUCAUUCUGAAUAGUAAAAAAUCUCUCCCUGUUGAGAGGUUUUGUAAAUAUGUCAGCCCAUUGAUGUAAGGUGUCAACAUAUUCAAUCUUGAUUUCACCCUUGAGGAUGUGAUCUUGAAUGAAGUGAUGCCUUAUCUCAAUAUGCUUGGUUUUUGAAUGUUAAAAGUAGUGGGAAGUGAAAAAGAAGUUGAAAUUUCAAAAGUAAAAAAUGGAGUUAUGAAAGAUGGUUGGAUGUAUUGAGAAAAGUUCAAGGAUUGGAAAACUCCCCUCAUCAUCUUAGUCUCAACCUUAAUUGUGGGAGUGGUAGGGUGCUUUAGUAACUCUUCCUCUUCUUCUUUUAUCUCAAUCUCUUCUUUUUCUCUCUUUUCUUUCUCAUUCCAUUCUUUUAUCUUUUUUCUUCAUACUAUUUUUUCCUCCUCCUUUUUCUCCCUUCUUACUUGCUUCUCUCUCUUUGUUCAUUCUCUCUUUUCUCAUGCUCCUCUUUCUCCUUUUGUUCUUUCUUCCUUCUUUUGUCUUCCUCUCUUCUUCUCUUUAUCUUCCUUAAAUCCUUUUGGACUUUUUCUUGAUUUUUAUUAAUAAUUCUAAUCUCUUCUUCCAACUUAGCAAGAUACUAUUCUCUUUCAAUUCUUUCUUUUUCUUUGAGAAGAGUUGCUUGCCUUUGCCAAAUUUUAAGUGACUUUAGCUCUUUUGCUAAAUUUUUCAAAGUGGGUUUUACAACCUCGCUAGAGUCACUUCCAAUUUCAUAGGAAUUAGUCUUACACAUCCUUAAAGGUUUUCGAAAAGAUGCAAUGCAACAAACAAAUACUUAAAUUUCAAAGAAAGUUCCUUAAGAGAUUUAAGGAGGCAAAAGACACCCAAGUUCACUUCCAGGAAAGGGAGGUGAAUCACAAUGGAUUUCUUAAAUACCAAACUUUUCCUAGCCAAAGUUUACCUUAGGCACUCUUGAACCAAAGUUGAAAUUAAACUAAGCUAUCAUAAUUAAAGUUGAAAUUGAAGUUGAAAUUAAAGUUAACACACACUAAGCUAUCAUAAUUAAAGAAAGCAAGUAAACUAGUUAUGCGGCCUAAUGAUUAAGUUAGAAGAACUUUUGUUCCUCCAACCAACCAACUAAAAAUGAAAUUUACUAACAAAUAAAGGUUCUUGUUAGGAGAUGGGAUUGAGCACCAAAGACUCCCCCAAGACACCUAACAAGGUUGUUAGUUACAAGAGAAAAAAAAGAAAAGAAAGAAAGAUUACAAAACCAAAAAUUACAACCAAAUCAAGGCUACCUCCUAAGGUGUUUCUCUCCUUUCUUUUUGGCUACCACUCUAGACUUUAAGCUCCCUUUGGGUCUCCACCACCCAGAAGGAUAACUCUAAGAUAUUGCAUCACCUCACAAAGAGAACCUACACCACACAAAGUAACCAAAGCCGAAAUUGUGCAAGAAGAAACAAGGGAUAAAAGCAAUAAAAAGGUCCAAAAACAAGAAAGGCUUUGCAAAAGGAAUUUAAUUAUGACAAAACUAAGAAAUCCAAGAAGACAAGCAAGAAAUUAAAGGUUAAGAAACAAAAGUUAGCACUCAAAAGAAAUCCUAAUGAAAGGUGCUAGAAUAGAUCACAAAACAAAAACUACUAGAAGAAAAGUAGGUGACUCUUGUCUUUUGGCAACUUUGAGCAAAUGGGGCACUAAGGCCACUAUUUUAACAUCAUAGCCAAGACUUUUAGACACUGGAAAGUGAAGAUAAAACCCCAAAAUAGUGAGAAAAACACGUUCCAAAACAGAUUGCACAAAAACAGUGGUAGUGGUCUAAGCACACAAUAUUUUUCAGCACUUUUCUAGGCUUUCUUUAGUACUCUUUUGAGGCCUUUUGCUUAAAAGCUUUUAGCACUUCUUUUUCCACUCUUUUAAGGUCCCAAAUAAGACCACCACACACUUGGAACAGAGGUGAUUUAUGGGUUUUAAAAGCCACAAAGACAAGAAACACAAAAUAGAAGAGAAUCCUACUAGAAUCGAAAUGGAGUUUAAAAUUAGAAAUAUCAAUAGGGAAAUUUUUUUUAAGAGCUUGCCAAUGAUCUAAUGGCAAGUAUGAACCCAAAACAUCAAAGAUAAGACCCUCGAAUGGUUGUAUAUGGUGCAUUUUAGCAAACUAAGUUAUAUAUAUUUUUUGAUGAUUUUUCAAAGUUACUAGAGAAAAUUGACAAGAAAAAAACUACACAUGACUCUAAACAAACAUGGAUGGAUUUAAAAAUUAAAAUGAAUCAAUCAAUGAAUUGCAGUUAAUAUAAAUCAAUAAAAGACCCAACAAAAUAAUAAGGAAUGACUCAAAAAAGAAAAGGCUCAAAACAGUAGCCAAAACUAACAAAACAUAACUUGAAAAACGCUAAUGACAACAUUCUGGCAGCAUUGACCUUUGCUGAGUGUUUUACCACUACUACAAAAAAGUGCAUGGAUAGCGCUUUUUUUUUUUGUUUUUUUUUUUAUCAUAGAUAGCGCUUUUUAAGCGCUAAAAAGCGCUAUCUAUUGGUGUUAUUUAAAUAAGCGCUAUCUAUUGAUGUUUGACAAUAGAUAGCGCUUAUUUAAAUAAGCGUUAUCUAUUGAUUUAAAUUUUUCAAAAAAAAAUAAUUUUUAAUAAAAUAUUUUAAAAAAUAUAAAAUAUUUUAAAAAAUAUAAAAUAUUUUAAAAAAUAUAAAAUAUUAGUUUUAUUAUAUAUAAACUUACAUUAUUUAUUUGUUCUAUUUUAUAAAAAAAAUAUAAAAUAUUAAGAUAAAUAUGAUAAAUACAAGUCAAGUCUAAAAAGAAUAUUCAACACUUCAAUGUAUAAAUAAAAUUUUUUGGUACAAUAAUAUUUCAAAAUAUAAUCAGCGAUGCAUCAAUACAUGUCAUGACAUGACAUUAUUUUAUAAGACGUAUAUACAACCAUAACACAUAUAUCCUAUUAAUACAUAUAAGCAUGUACAUCACCAUAAGAUAACCUAUAAACAUGUACUAAUUAUAUGUAAACAUCAAUCUUCCCUAGCUUCAAUAAUUUGAUUGUCACGAUAUUGUCGAUGUCUACAAUUAAAAAAAUACUGCAACAAAGAAAAAUAAUAUAAAAUUAGUCAAUAAAAUUUUUCGUGCAAAUUAAUUAUGACAAUGAACAUAACUUACCUUAGUUGAAAUUAUUCCUCCUUCACAUGUGAUAAUUUCUUUCAUAUAUCGACUCAUAAUACACAAUCGUUGCCAUUGAGUUGUCUUGAAUACUAGAAAACCAAAAGUAAAAAAAAUAAAUACAUUUUGACCAUAAUGGCAAAUCAAAAUUCUAGUAAACUCCAAACAGAUUUAGUGUAUGGUAACAAACAACUACAUACCUUGCUUUCAUUAUAACCAUAUUCCUCCAACCAAUUUCACAAUAAUAAUAAUGUUUUAUUCACUUGAACUUUGUAAAUAUUCUUUUUAAGAACUUUAAGUUCAAUGUCAUAAUAUACAAUUAUUACUCAUUUACAACCGUUCACAAUGUUGUUAAAGUAGAAGCAAUCUACCAAUCACCGCAUCCACAAAUGAUUUUGAUCCUGAAAUAAAAUGCAACAAUGUGUAAAGACAUCCCAUCGUAAAGCAUCACAUUACAAAAACUGUCAACAAAGAAUAAAGGUAGCAACUUUGAAAAAUAUAAGCAUCAAAUCCAAGACCGUGACAUUAAAUUAUAUAUGUACAUUGUCCGGUAGUUAAAUAUUUAUACUAGUAAUGGGUUUCCGCUAUUAAAACCCAAAGAACAGACAAUAUGGGGAAAUGAAAUCAAAUUACUUAAAUAUGUCUAAGGCAAGAACUCACCUGAAAAGGCAACUACAACAACUAUUUUUCUAGACACCUCUUUAAUUGUCACAGAGGAAUCUUUAGGCAGUGGCAUGUUAGCACCAUACUUUGAUGGCAUGACGAAAGACAUUCUCCACUUGUCUUGAUCUUCAAUCUAAGAUAAUACAAUGAUAAAUUAGAACAUCAUAAAUUACGAAUAUAUAUUGGAAAGAAACUCUUAGUCGAAUAGAUGUAUUGAUUAUUAAAUACAGAACUUCCAAAAUAUAAUAUCACAAAAUCCACACACUUAAGUGCAAAGACACACUAGUACAUUGGCUAUAUCAUAACAUAGAAACAAAAGGGGAAAAAUAACGAAAGAGGAACUUGUUAAAAUAAUAAUGUUAUGUUAUAACUUACGCCAUCUAAUUGGGAUAGAUAUAGAUAAUUCAUAAGAUGGAAAAUAGUAUCAAUUUAUCCAAUCUCACAUACUUAAACUUUACAUAUUAAUUAUUUACAUAUUAAUUAUACCAUGUGCAAAGCGACACUAGUACAUUGGCUAUAUCAUAACAUAUAAACAAAAGGGAAAAAACAACGAAAGAGGAACAUAUGACCUAAAUGGUUAAAAUAAUAGUGGUAUGUUAUAACACCAUAUAAUUGGGAUAGAUUAGGUAAUUCAUAAGAUAGAAAAUAGUAUCAAUUUAUCCAAUCUCACACACUUAAACUAUACUUAUUAAUUAGACCAUGUGUUAAAGAACAUAGGAAUUUGAUAGAAUUUUCAGGUGAAACCUUUAACUAUGUAUUUGGAUAAAGUUAAGAAAAAUCAACUUGAAAAAAUAUGCUAGGGUAGUUGAGACAUUACUGAAUCAUUAUGAAAGAUUUAUUUCAAAUGAACUUGAAUUACAUAAACAUGGAUUUUAAAUUGUGAAUUAUACUAUAUAAAACGUUCAGACCAUGAAAAUAAGGUAGAUGCAAUUAUUUCAGUAUCAUUAUUGACAAUGUUUGUUACAGUUAUAUAAAGAUAUGUUUCUACAAUUAUGUUUGCUGAAACGAAUAUAAUUAUGCUAAACUUGUUAGGCAAUGCAUAUAAAAAUAAAUAAGAUAAAGAUUGAAAAUGAGAUAUUUCACGAAACCAUAAAAUAAGUUCAACAUAUAUAUUCAAAUUAUCAUACCAGUUUUUAACUUAUAAUUAACACCUCUAAAAGGUGUAAUACAUACCACACUAAAUCAUGUUUUACUUACCUAACUCUGCACCAUCAAAACCAGUGAAAUACAUCAUAACUCUUAUCUUAAUUAAAAUAACAUGUGACAUUUGUUUCUAAACUAAAUAACUUCAUGCAUUAUAUUUCACAUCACAUAUCAGAACUUAAGCAAAGAAGGAUGCAACAUAUAGUAUAAUACCCUAAAAUCUUUAAUGACCACCAAUUUAAGCACUCGAACUCCCACUUUUUUUUUCACAUAUAAAUUCAAGACAACAUUUUCACCAAAUAGAUUCUUGUACUAAUUUUCCAUGAUUCAGACUUGUUAACAUUACAACUCCAGACAAUAAUAUUAUAUACCAAUCCCUAUGGGUGCUCACAAAUUUAUAACACUAAAAGAGUUCAAUAAUUACAUCUAAUAUACCUUAGAAUCAUAGAAACUCAUGCAAUCAUGUCUUGAAACACUAUACCAAUGUUAUUUGUUACAAUAAUGUGUAUAUCUAGUCCAACCAGAAAAAUAUAACAACACACCAUAUUUUCCAAGCCAUCUAGGAAUACCAUCCUAUCCCACUUAUUCUUGUCAGAAUAAAAACAUCCAAUUAUUAUUAGUAAACUCACACCUUCCAGACCCACAAAUCAAUUCCAAUUUAAAUAUAUUAUAACCCAACAGAACAUAUACAAAUUUCCAGCUUAUCAUCAUGUCCANUAUAGAUAGCCAAAUAAGAUUGCUCAUAGUUUUAAAAUACUAAUAAAUUAAUAAACACCACUGUUGCACCUUAGAAACAAUUAAGCUCACACAGUCGCGGUAUAAACAUCACAAAACGACUACACUAAUAUAUAUUUACCAACCAGAAAAUCUCCAUUCCCCUUUCCAAAAAAAUUGAUACUCAAUAUUUAUUCCUAAUUCGCAUAAAACAUGUAUUCAGAGAAAAUAUAGGUUGCAACAUAUUCAAACAACCAAUUAAAACCCAAUUAGUGAAAACUCUUCGAAUACCUCAGUUCUCACCUUCCGUGCCCGCUGCUCAUGGUUUUCCUCCGUCUCGUGUCCUCUUCUCCUUCUUUCCCAAAACGUAUUGAUGCUCCUCUCUCUUGUUCUCGCACCAAAGAACCUCCCAUUCGUCUAGGUUUUAGGGUUUCGCCCUUUCUCCAUUACUCACCUUAAAAUCUCACCUCCCCUCUUAAAUUCUCUCUUCCGUUACUUCGUUUGGGCCUCAGAUUCUCUUCUUCCCCUACCGUACCAAGAAUCCCUCUUUCUCUUAGGGUUUUCGAAAAGAAGAAAAAAGAAAAGGGAGAAGAGAGAAAACGAGAAAAAAGAAAGGAAGAAUGAGCUUCGAAAAUUUUUGACCUUGUCUACUUCUCAUGGCCUAUGGAUUUGGCAUGGAAGGCUUCUCUUCCUCUCUCUCGUGCUCACGCCGCUAUUUCAUCCAUUUGGCUAAACUUAGGUGUUUUUUUUUUUCGCUUUUGGACAAAAAGAAAAAGAGAACAAAGAAUGAAGGGAGAAGAAGAGAAGAAUUGAACUAACCUUUGAAUUAACCUUCUAAAACCAAAACCAGUGCUUUAAGAGUUAACUGAAUAAAGGAAAUACGUUUUCAGAGUUAACUGAAUAAAGGAAAUAGGCCGAAUUUUUUUUAAUUUUUAUAAUAAAUAGACACCUUUAAAUAAUAACUCUCUAUUAGUUUAUUUUAAAUUUUUAAUUAAAUAUAAUAAUAUAAAUAAAUAUAGAUAGUAUUAUUUUGAAAAAUGUUAUGAAUGGAAAAAGGGAGAAAAUUUUUGUUCAAGGAGAAACAUAGAAGAACAUGUAUAUGAAAACUUCUUUUCAAAUUUUUUUAAAACACUUAAUAGAUAGCGUUUUUUUUUAAAAACCAUUAUCUAUUGAUCUAUUUUAAUUUAUGAAUUAAAAAAAUAAUAUUAAAUAUAUAUAGAUAGCGUUUUUUUAAAAAAGCGCUCUCUAUUGGCAUAGGUUUAGAUAGCGCUUUCUUAAAUAAGCACUAUCUAUUGUUCUGAACAUUCAUAGAUAGUGCUUAUUUAAAAACGCGUUAUCUAUUGAACGCUAUCUAUGCUCAAUUUUGUAGUAGUGUAGUCAUAACUUUCUCUACAAAAGUCCAAAAGAAUUGAUUUUUUUUGUUUGAAACUAGACUCAAAGGGCUUUCAUUUGAGUAUUUUUAUGUAUAUUUUGGACAACUGGGAUAGAUGCAGUUUAAGUUUCAAAAUCGUCCCAGUUUACUGCCAGAAAAAAAAUGAUAAAUGAAAAAAAAACACAACAAUACAAGUAAGGAAAACAUUAAGCAACAAGGAAAUAACAAAGGAUAAAAACCAAGAAACUUAGCUCUUUGAAGAACCAAGGCUCUUGAUACCAAAUGAUGGCAAAAAUGCUCUAGUUAGGACAAGCAAAUCAAGCCAUAAGUUCAUGGAUGAAGAUUGCGAAAUUUGGUGAUGGUGAAAGGUGUUCAUAGCUCAUGGUUUUGAUAAGUUGUAUGAUGAUGGGAGGUGUAUUUGGGGGUUCUCUAAGAGAGGUUGGGCACAAAAAUGGCAGCAUAACUUUACUCUAAAUCAAAGGUGAUUACAUCAUGGAGAACACCUCACUAGUAGAAAAAGAGGAUUCCAUGACAGGCUAUUAUGAUAGGUGAAAUACACCUAUCAUAAUACAUGGACCAGUGACAAUUCUGUAAUAAAAAUAAGAUUUAUUAUGGCGCAUUUUAAGAAACUUAUCAUAAUAGAUGCAGCGGUGAUAUUUUCGUAAUAAAAGUUACAUAUAUUAUGACAGAUAAAAGGCCACCUAUCAUAAUAAAUUGGACACAGUGGCAAAAUUGAAAUUAUGGAAAAACAUAUUAUGAUAGAUAUUAAAAUAGCUAUCAUAUUAGGUGCAAAACUCUCUUUCAUUUUCCCUUCUUUCAAUCUCGGGCAACAUUCCCCAUUUCCCCGCCCUUCUUUCAAUCUCGGACAACAUUCUUCGUUUCCCCACACAACUUUUCUUUCUCUUCCAAUCGUCCCACAAAGCAUUUUUUCUCUCAUCCUACAGCACAGAACACUUGUCGCCUCCACGUCUGGCAACUGUACACAUCUCAAAGCCUCCAUGCCGCGCACACUAGUGGCAGUAUCCCCUU
RNAcentral lists this long non-coding RNA (12212 nucleotides) under Vigna radiata. Its description in RNAcentral is "long non-coding RNA (VRAD_LNC014703)". Lineage: Eukaryota; Viridiplantae; Streptophyta; Magnoliopsida; Fabales; Fabaceae. The record is from RNAcentral.